UCCCUGUGUUGAGGAAGAUAAUGACGGUACUCAACAAGGAAGUGACGGCUAACUACGUGCCAGCAGCCGCGGUAAAACGUAGGUCACAAGCGUUGUCCGGAAUUACUGGGUGUAAAGGGAGCGCAGGCGGGAAGACAAGUUGGAAGUGAAAUCCAUGGGCUCAACCCAUGAACUGCUUUCAAAACUGUUUUUCUUGAGUAGUGCAGAGGUAGGCGGAAUUCCCGGUGUAGCGGUGGAAUGCGUAGAUAUCGGGAGGAACACCAGUGGCGAAGGCGGCCUACUGGGCACCAACUGACGCUGAGGCUCGAAAGUGUGGGUAGCAAACAGGAUUAGAUACCCUGGUAGUCCACACUGUAAACGAUGAUUACUAGGUGUUGGAGGAUUGACCCCUUCAGUGCCGCAGUUAACACAAUAAGUAAUCCACCUGGGGAGUACGACCGCAAGGUUGAAACUCAAAGGAAUUGACGGGGGCCCGCACAAGCAGUGGAGUAUGUGGUUUAAUUCGACGCAACGCGAAGAACCUUACCAAGUCUUGACAUCCCUUGACGAUGCUGGAAACAGUAUUUCUCUUCGGAGCAAGGAGACAGGUGGUGCAUGGUUGUCGUCAGCUCGUGUCGUGAGAUGUUGGGUUAAGUCCCGCAACGAGCGCAACCCUUAUGGUCAGUUACUACGCAAGAGGACUCUGGCCAGACUGCCGUUGACAAA
This 705-nucleotide ribosomal RNA is filed under the name Faecalibacterium prausnitzii. RNAcentral's name for it is "bacterial SSU rRNA". It matches the Rfam family "Bacterial small subunit ribosomal RNA", at positions 431 to 1162 of the family's 1533-position model. Lineage: Bacteria; Bacillati; Bacillota; Clostridia; Eubacteriales; Oscillospiraceae. The record is from RNAcentral.